GAUGACGAUGAAGAGGAGUAGAAGGAGAGGAGGAAGAUGAGGUCAGCGCCACCGAUGAGGAGGAGGAAGACCUUGGCAUUGAUGGUGAAGUUGAAGAUGAGGAGGAUGAGGAGAGGAUGAAGAGGAAGUUGAGGCUGUCAAAGGCGAGAAGAGAAAGC
Salvelinus sp. IW2-2015 is the source of this 158-nucleotide non-coding RNA. The record is from RefSeq and is a predicted model, not a curated record. Lineage: Eukaryota; Metazoa; Chordata; Actinopteri; Salmoniformes; Salmonidae.